CAAUAUUCCUGCUGACGGGUUAACGCCAAAUAUAUUUUGAACGACGAAGGAUCAAUUUUCCUGCGAGACAUCCAGUCGAUCCGAGUUUAAUGCGGGACAGGAUCAAGUUCGAGAAGAACGUCUGGUGCCUCUGCGCACUUUUACAAGUCACACGGUUUUUCAGAGAGCAGUGUCUCUACAAUCUCGACACGUUUUAACUACGUUUGCACGCAAAAAGUAACCUUAGACAAAGCAGAGUAAAAACAAAGAAUUUUUCAAUCAUAGGUCGAUAGCGAGAGUUAAAGAAGAACAUUUUACAACUUUUCUAGACCAACAGCCCCACUUGUUACGUCGAAGCUGUGCAAUACAAUUCUAUAAGGUUCGACAUCGGUAACGUUGAUCUGUUACAUCAAUCUUUAAAAAAAAAAAACUGAAGGUGAUCGCAUAAAUCACUCGAAGACUCGUUUCCCUCUCAAAGGGGAUUCGUCCAGCGUAUUCAAUACUCCUGAGACGAGGAAGAUGAUUACCAUGACACGGUUGCAUAAGAGAACGCCAAAAAGAGUAUCGUUCU
RNAcentral lists this unclassified non-coding RNA (550 nucleotides) under Bombus terrestris (buff-tailed bumblebee). Its description in RNAcentral is "misc RNA ENSBTSG00005035840.1". Lineage: Eukaryota; Metazoa; Arthropoda; Insecta; Hymenoptera; Apidae. The record is from RNAcentral.